RNAcentral lists this ribosomal RNA (404 nucleotides) under Actinomycetes bacterium. RNAcentral describes it as "Actinobacteria bacterium partial 16S ribosomal RNA". It matches the Rfam family "Bacterial small subunit ribosomal RNA", at positions 355 to 776 of the family's 1533-position model. Lineage: Bacteria; Bacillati; Actinomycetota; Actinomycetes. The record is from RNAcentral.
UGGGGAAUAUUGGACAAUGGGCGCAAGCCUGAUCCAGCCAUGCCGCGUGAGUGAUGAAGGCCCUAGGGUUGUAAAGCUCUUUCACCGGUGAAGAUAAUGACGGUAACCGGAGAAGAAGCCCCGGCUAACUUCGUGCCAGCAGCCGCGGUAAUACGAAGGGGGCUAGCGUUGUUCGGAUUUACUGGGCGUAAAGCGCACGUAGGCGGACUUUUAAGUCAGGGGUGAAAUCCCGGGGCUCAACCCCGGAACUGCCUUUGAUACUGGAAGUCUUGAGUAUGGUAGGGGUGAGUGGAAUUCCGGGGGUAGGGGUGAAAUUCGUAGAUAUUCGGAGGAACACCAGUGGCGAAGGCGGCUCACUGGACCAUUACUGACGCUGGGGAGCGAAAGCGUGGGGAGCAAACAGG